This 1099-nucleotide long non-coding RNA is filed under the name Homo sapiens (human). RNAcentral describes it as "HIF1A stabilizing long noncoding RNA". Lineage: Eukaryota; Metazoa; Chordata; Mammalia; Primates; Hominidae. The record is from RNAcentral.
GUUAAACAAGUGCUUGAAGGCAGUAUGCUUGGUAAAAGUCAUCGCCAUUCUCUAAUCUUGAGUACCCAGGGACACGAUACACUGCGGAAGGCUGCAGGGACCUCUGCCCAGGAAAGCCAGGCUUGCAUGAAGGAAAUGAUUUCCUAUGAUUCUGCUUACUGCUUAAAAAAAUUAAUCAAGUUUUCUGCCUGACAAGAUCCAGUAUCUGCCGGAGGAGCCCCACCUUCUGCUACUAUUAUGUUCUUCAGAUGAGUAGAAGAGAGUGGGGAGGGAGAGAGCAGGAAGAAGAAAGGAAGAAUAAUGUCUUGAAAUUGCAGAACAUUCAGCAGGAACUGUGGAAAUCCAAGUCAAGUAAUAUUCUCAACAGUUUUCUAAGGAUAAUGGUCUCCAGCUUCGUCAAUGUUCCUGCAAAGGACAUGAUGCUGACUUUGAAGAUGCAAGCUUCCACAUCUACAGCCUCAAGGAAACAAAUUCAGCCAACCAACUGAGGGAGCUUUCCUUGUCCUGCCUCAAGAUGAGAUCACAGUCUGCCCAACACCAUGAUUUAGGCCUUGUGACACCUGAGCUCAGAUGGAAAAGAAUGGUGUUACUGAGACCCUUCAAGAUUCCCAGUGUAAUUCAAUAAAGAAAAGGCAACACAAAGGGGUUGUAUAGAAUUCGCCACAUUAUGGACCCAUGUCAUAGAGAGAAUCCACGGUGCAUUUGUUAGCUGCAUUUAAAUGACAACACUUUCAGAUCCAAGAUUUAUUUGGGAUAAAAAUUUACCUGGAUGCAAGGCUAUUCAGAAUGAAGAUUAAUGAUAUGGUUUGGCUGUGUCCCCACCCAAACUUCAUCUUGAAUUCCCACGUGUUGUGAGAGGGACCUGGUGGGAGAUAAUUGAACCAUGGGGGCAGGUCUUUCUCAUGCUGUUCUCAUGAGAGUGAAUAAGUCUCAUGAAACCUGAUGGUUUUAUAAGGGGGAAUUUCCCUGCACAAGCUCUCUCUCUGCCUUUUGCCAUCCAUGUAAGACGUGACUUGGUCCUCCUUGCCUUCUACCAUGAUUAUGAGGCCUCCCCAGCCACGUGGAACUGUGAGUCCAUUAAACCUCUUUCUUUUGUAAA